Molecule: long non-coding RNA, 324 nt
Organism: Acanthaster planci (crown-of-thorns starfish)
Lineage: Eukaryota; Metazoa; Echinodermata; Asteroidea; Valvatida; Acanthasteridae
Source: RefSeq, a predicted model, not a curated record
CUAUGUACACGUACAAGCUGGAAAUGCUUUUAAAAAAAACUGAAGAAGAGGUAGGCAUGGAGCUCAUGCCAGGCUGAUGAUGCAGUCGACCUGAGAACAAGGCUGGGUAGGAACCACCCUAGGGGCUGCAGAGUCUGCCGUGCACUGAAUACUGCAUGACUAGGCUCUGUCGACACCGGUACAGUGAGUACAAGAUGUUCCCAUAGAUCUACCUGGAUGGAGCCGAUCCAAUUCACCUUUCCAACCGCCCUUCCCUUUUGUGACCACCAAGAUGUUAACCUCUCCGACAUCAAGGAGCUCCACCCAAGUCAGUUCAAGUCAAUC